Molecule: long non-coding RNA, 3639 nt
Filed under: Homo sapiens (human)
Lineage: Eukaryota; Metazoa; Chordata; Mammalia; Primates; Hominidae
Description: HSALNT0363286
Rfam family: Nuclear enriched abundant transcript 1 conserved region 3 (bases 1162-1320)
Source: RNAcentral
GAGUUAGCGACAGGGAGGGAUGCGCGCCUGGGUGUAGUUGUGGGGGAGGAAGUGGCUAGCUCAGGGCUUCAGGGGACAGACAGGGAGAGAUGACUGAGUUAGAUGAGACGAGGGGGCGGGCUGGGGGUGCGAGAAGGAAGCUUGGCAAGGAGACUAGGUCUAGGGGGACCACAGUGGGGCAGGCUGCAUGGAAAAUAUCCGCAGGGUCCCCCAGGCAGAACAGCCACGCUCCAGGCCAGGCUGUCCCUACUGCCUGGUGGAGGGGGAACUUGACCUCUGGGAGGGCGCCGCUCUUGCAUAGCUGAGCGAGCCCGGGUGCGCUGGUCUGUGUGGAAGGAGGAAGGCAGGGAGAGGUAGAAGGGGUGGAGGAGUCAGGAGGAAUAGGCCGCAGCAGCCCUGGAAAUGAUCAGGAAGGCAGGCAGUGGGUGCAGGGCUGCAGGAGGGCCGGGAGGGCUAAUCUUCAACUUGUCCAUGCCAGCAGCCCCUUUUUUUCCAGACCAAGGGCUGUGAACCCGCCUGGGGAUGAGGCCUGGUCUUGUGGAACUGAACUUAGCUCGACGGGGCUGACCGCUCUGGCCCAGGGUGGUAUGUAAUUUUCGCUCGGCCUGGGACGGGGCCCAGGCCGGGCCCAGCCUGGUGGAGCGUCCAGGUCUGGGUGCGAAGCCAGGCCCCUGGGCGGAGGUGAGGGGUGGUCUGAGGAGUGAUGUGGAGUUAAGGCGCCAUCCUCACCGGUGACUGGUGCGGCACCUAGCAUGUUUGACAGGCGGGGACUGCGAGGCACGCUGCUCGGGUGUUGGGGACAACAUUGACCAACGCUUUAUUUUCCAGGUGGCAGUGCUCCUUUUGGACUUUUCUCUAGGUUUGGCGCUAAACUCUUCUUGUGAGCUCACUCCACCCCUUCUUCCUCCCUUUAACUUAUCCAUUCACUUAAAACAUUACCUGGUCAUCUGGUAAGCCCGGGACAGUAAGCCGAGUGGCUGUUGGAGUCGGUAUUGUUGGUAAUGGUGGAGGAAGAGAGGCCUUCCCGCUGAGGCUGGGGUGGGGCGGAUCGGUGUUGCUUGCCUGCAGAGAGGGUGGGGAGUGAAUGUGCACCCUUGGGUGGGCCUGCAGCCAUCCAGCUGAAAGUUACAAAAAUGCUUCAUGGACCGUGGUUUGUUACUAUAGUGUUCCUCAUGGCGAGCAGAUGGAACCGGGAGACAUGGAGUCCCUGGCCAGUGUGAGUCCUAGCAUUGCAGGAGGGGAGACCCUGGAGGAGAGAGCCCGCCUCAAUUGAUGCCUGCAGAUUGAAUUUCCAGAGGCUUAGGAGGAGGAAGUUCUCCAAUGUUCUGUUUCCAGGCCUUGCUCAGGAAGCCCUGUAUUCAGGAGGCUACCAUUUAAAGUUUGCAGAUGAGCUUAUGGGGGGCAAUCUUAAAAAGUCCACAGCAGAUGCAUCCGGCUCGAGGGGCCAUCAGCUUUGAAUAAAUGCUUGUUCCAGAGCCCAUGAAUGCCAGCAGGCACCCCUCCUUUCCUGGGGUAAAGGUUUUCAGAUGCUGCAUCUUCUAAAUUGAGCCUCCGGUCAUACUAGUUUUGUGCUUGGAACCUUGCUUCAAGAAGAUCCCUAAGCUGUAGAACAUUUUAACGUUGAUGCCACAACGCAGAUUGAUGCCUUGUAGAUGGAGCUUGCAGAUGGAGCCCCGUGACCUCUCACCUACCCACCUGUUUGCCUGCCUUCUUGUGCGUUUCUCGGAGAAGUUCUUAGCCUGAUGAAAUAACUUGGGGCGUUGAAGAGCUGUUUAAUUUUAAAUGCCUUAGACUGGGGAUAUAUUAGAGGAAGCAGAUUGUCAAAUUAAGGGUGUCAUUGUGUUGUGCUAAACGCUGGGAGGGUACAAGUUGGUCAUUCCUAAAUCUGUGUGUGAGAAAUGGCAGGUCUAGUUUGGGCAUUGUGAUUGCAUUGCAGAUUACUAGGAGAAGGGAAUGGUGGGUACACCGGUAGUGCUCUUUUGUUCUUGCUUCGUUUUUUUAAACUUGAACUUUACUUCGUUAGAUUUCAUAAUACUUUCUUGGCAUUCUAGUAAGAGGACCCUGAGGUGGGAGUUGUGGGGGACGGGGAGAAGGGGACAGCUUGGCACCGGUCCCGUGGGCGUUGCAGUGUGGGGGAUGGGGGAAAUGCAGGUUGAAGGGAAUUCUCUGGGGCUUUGGGGAAUUUAGUGCGUGGGUGAGCCAAGAAAAUACUAAUUAAUAAUAGUAAGUUGUUAGUGUUGGUUAAGUUGUUGCUUGGAAGUGAGAAGUUGCUUAGAAACUUUCCAAAGUGCUUAGAACUUUAAGUGCAAACAGACAAACUAACAAACAAAAAUUGUUUUGCUUUGCUACAAGGUGGGGAAGACUGAAGAAGUGUUAACUGAAAACAGGUGACACAGAGUCACCAGUUUUCCGAGAACCAAAGGGAGGGGUGUGUGAUGCCAUCUCACAGGCAGGGGAAAUGUCUUUACCAGCUUCCUCCUGGUGGCCAAGACAGCCUGUUUCAGAGGGUUGUUUUGUUUGGGGUGUGGGUGUUAUCAAGUGAAUUAGUCACUUGAAAGAUGGGCGUCAGACUUGCAUACGCAGCAGAUCAGCAUCCUUCGCUGCCCCUUAGCAACUUAGGUGGUUGAUUUGAAACUGUGAAGGUGUGAUUUUUUCAGGAGCUGGAAGUCUUAGAAAAGCCUUGUAAAUGCCUAUAUUGUGGGCUUUUAACGUAUUUAAGGGACCACUUAAGACGAGAUUAGAUGGGCUCUUCUGGAUUUGUUCCUCAUUUGUCACAGGUGUCUUGUGAUUGAAAAUCAUGAGCGAAGUGAAAUUGCAUUGAAUUUCAAGGGAAUUUAGUAUGUAAAUCGUGCCUUAGAAACACAUCUGUUGUCUUUUCUGUGUUUGGUCGAUAUUAAUAAUGGCAAAAUUUUUGCCUAUCUAGUAUCUUCAAAUUGUAGUCUUUGUAACAACCAAAUAACCUUUUGUGGUCACUGUAAAAUUAAUAUUUGGUAGACAGAAUCCAUGUACCUUUGCUAAGGUUAGAAUGAAUAAUUUAUUGUAUUUUUAAUUUGAAUGUUUGUGCUUUUUAAAUGAGCCAAGACUAGAGGGGAAACUAUCACCUAAAAUCAGUUUGGAAAACAAGACCUAAAAAGGGAAGGGGAUGGGGAUUGUGGGGAGAGAGUGGGCGAGGUGCCUUUACUACAUGUGUGAUCUGAAAACCCUGCUUGGUUCUGAGCUGCGUCUAUUGAAUUGGUAAAGUAAUACCAAUGGCUUUUUAUCAUUUCCUUCUUCCCUUUAAGUUUCACUUGAAAUUUUAAAAAUCAUGGUUAUUUUUAUCGUUGGGAUCUUUCUGUCUUCUGGGUUCCAUUUUUUAAAUGUUUAAAAAUAUGUUGACAUGGUAGUUCAGUUCUUAACCAAUGACUUGGGGAUGAUGCAAACAAUUACUGUCGUUGGGAUUUAGAGUGUAUUAGUCACGCAUGUAUGGGGAAGUAGUCUCGGGUAUGCUGUUGUGAAAUUGAAACUGUAAAAGUAGAUGGUUGAAAGUACUGGUAUGUUGCUCUGUAUGGUAAGAACUAAUUCUGUUACGUCAUGUACAUAAUUACUAAUCACUUUUCUUCCCCUUUACAGCACAAAUAAAGUUUGAGUUCUAAACUCAUU